CGGUCUUGGAUGGAAUUAUGGGUUCCCGCGAAGGAGCAAGAAUCCAAAUAGAACCAUAAUACACUCACACACCUGAGCACAUUUCAAGUUGACCUGAUUCCAGGAGAUGUCCAUAAAUCUCCACUCAAUUAUUGGUCAAGACUGGACCGCAACAAUGGUGGCCAUCCGUUUAGGAGGCGUAAUAUAUUGCCCAGCUUUGGCCAGCAUCAGGGUCGAUAAAAACCAUAUCUGGCCAAUUCUCACCGAUUUCACGCCAACGCAACCAAAAAGGGGGAGGAUGGGAGAAGUGAGAACGGGGAGGAAAUCGGACCCUUGGAAGAUUAAGGGGGAGGAUUUGAGACGUGGGCACUGCACUACCAUCUGUUGAAUGACAAUGAUGAUCACGACGGGGUUGAAUCAACCUUGAACCCUCCCACUGCGGAUAGAAAACGCUUUCAAACAGCGUGCAGUGCCCUAUGCCGGCUACUUGGAGUCACUGAAUCAUUCAGAAGCACCUCAAUAGAGCACCAUUGAUUGGUCUUGAGGAAUUUCAACCUAAUAACCAGACUUCACACUAGGACCCCAUUGGGUCAAACCUAAAGGAUCAUCACCAGUGCCCGGUGCUCACUGAACUGCAAGGUAAGAAAGAAGAGGAGCAAGUCAUCAUCCACCAUUUACAAUCAGACCUUCCUGCUGUGCUCACACCAAAAUCAUGGCAAGCAUUCAAAUCACCAUUGUCUACCCUCUUUGCCACAGACGUGCAAAUACGCGACUCAGGAGGCGGAGGAUGAAAAAACUUUGUCAAAUCAGAGUUAAAUAAUGGAGGAAAAGACACAUAUUAGUUUCGGUCUGGAUAUCCAGUCUUUCCUUUCAUUUAUCUUACUGAGGUGUCUAUUAAAUCACAGAC
Tigriopus californicus is the source of this 886-nucleotide long non-coding RNA. RefSeq lists it as uncharacterized. Lineage: Eukaryota; Metazoa; Arthropoda; Copepoda; Harpacticoida; Harpacticidae. The transcript has 2 exons. The record is from RefSeq and is a predicted model, not a curated record.